Molecule: small nucleolar RNA, 127 nt
Filed under: Castor canadensis (American beaver)
Lineage: Eukaryota; Metazoa; Chordata; Mammalia; Rodentia; Castoridae
Description: Small nucleolar RNA SNORA27 (ENSCCNG00000002688.1)
Rfam family: Small nucleolar RNA SNORA27
About the family: ACA27 is a member of the H/ACA class of snoRNA that guide the sites of modification of uridines to pseudouridines.
Source: Rfam by way of RNAcentral
AUACCCCCUUUCUCUUUGCCAUUUGGACUUAAAUCUUUAUUGGUCAUUCAAGUAGGGCAAAGGAAAAUAACCUUUUAAAACUCAGGCAAACUAAGUGUUUUCCUGUAACCUUUCAGAGGAGACAAAC